This 423-nucleotide ribosomal RNA is filed under the name uncultured bacterium. RNAcentral describes it as "bacterial SSU rRNA". It matches the Rfam family "Bacterial small subunit ribosomal RNA", at positions 207 to 622 of the family's 1533-position model. The record is from RNAcentral.
AAGACCUUGCACUUUUGGAGCGGCCGAUGUCUGAUUAGCUAGUUGGUGGGGUAAAGGCCUACCAAGGCUUCGAUCAGUAGCUGGUCUGAGAGGACGGCCAGCCACACUGGGACUGAGACACGGCCCAGACUCCUACGGGAGGCAGCAGUGGGGAAUUUUGGACAAUGGGCGCAAGCCUGAUCCAGCCAUGCCGCGUGAGUGAAGAAGGCCUUCGGGUUGUAAAGCUCUUUCAGCCGGGAAGAAAAAACUGCGACUAAUAAUCGCAGUUCAUGACGGUACCGGAAGAAGAAGCACCGGCUAACUACGUGCCAGCAGCCGCGGUAAUACGUAGGGUGCGAGCGUUAAUCGGAAUUACUGGGCGUAAAGGGUGCGCAGGCGGUUUUGUAAGUCAGAUGUGAAAUCCCCGGGCUUAACCUGGGAACU